CAGAUAGGUGAACUCAAGUUUAUAGAAGACUAAUAUAAUAUUUUGAAAUAAAUGAACUGCCGUUUACUACUCUCAAGAUUUCUCAAAAUACUCAAGUAUUCGUGCUCAUUAUAUCAGCAGAAACCUGAUUUAUUAUUCCAAAAACGACCUGGCCUACAUCUUCCAGGCCGCUUCUUCUACAUCUUCUUAUCACUUUUUCUGGACAUUUAAAUGCCGUUCAUUGUUCCAACUGUAAAAGCAGAAGAAAAUUUCAAACUAUUUAUCAGACAUUCUAAAAACGACCGGGUCUACAUACUCGAUUUGCCAAUUUUUCAAGACAGCUAAGUGCCGUUCACCGUUGCAAUAAAACAGAAAAGGCAAAAAAAAAAAAAUUUAAAUAAUUAUAAGGCACCGACGUGUAUUAAUCUGAUUUAUAACCUUAAAAGUGACCGGGUUUACAUUCUAAGUGUCGUUCAUCGUCCUUACAAAAACAGUGAACACAUAAAAACAUUUAAAAUAUAUAUCUAACAUCGAUGAGUAUUAACCUGAUUUAUAAUAAUUCCAACAGCGAUCAGGUGAACGUUCUGGAUUCACUAUCGUCGCAGCAAAAAUAGGAAACAAAUUUGAAAUUAUAAUUAAGUUU
Teleopsis dalmanni is the source of this 622-nucleotide long non-coding RNA. RefSeq lists it as uncharacterized. The transcript has 3 exons. The record is from RefSeq and is a predicted model, not a curated record. NCBI's taxonomy places the organism in Eukaryota, Metazoa, Arthropoda, Insecta, Diptera, Diopsidae.